This is a non-coding RNA of Phascolarctos cinereus (koala), 472 nucleotides long. The record is from RefSeq and is a predicted model, not a curated record. NCBI's taxonomy places the organism in Eukaryota, Metazoa, Chordata, Mammalia, Diprotodontia, Phascolarctidae.
CUUGGUCCCCUGUAAAAAGAAAGAAUUGGACUAGAUGAACACCGAGUUCCUUCCAGCUCUAAAAGUAGUUGGCAUGCCCAAGUACUGGCUUGGCUCCAUAUUGCCUCCAAUGGUGAGGGCUUUGUUCUAAAAUUGAUGGUGUCCCAUACUGAAGGGAUAAAUUUUUUAUCCGAUGAGGACUUUAUUCUGACUGCGAUGACUUCUGCUUAGCAAGCUCAGGCAGGCAUUGGUGUUGACUUCUCCGAAGGAAUCCAGAGGCCUCUAUUCUCUCUCCCCCGGAGCUCCUGACUUACCAGUCCAGGCUGGCACGGAAACUUUUAAACCUGGUUAAACCACAAUAGAGCAUCUUCCUCAGGCCCGCUCCUAGGCAAAGCUGGGAAGUGAGAGAUGAGGAAACUGAGGCUGAGAGAAGUUAAGUGACUUGCCCAGUGUCACUCAGUGAGUGACUGAAGCACUACACCACCUACAUAUA